Molecule: long non-coding RNA, 849 nt
Organism: Neoarius graeffei (lesser salmon catfish)
Lineage: Eukaryota; Metazoa; Chordata; Actinopteri; Siluriformes; Ariidae
Exons: 3
Source: RefSeq, a predicted model, not a curated record
CGGACACACACGCCCCUCAAGAUUACUCAAGAUUUAUUCAUUUGUUCAUGUCCGAUGAAUAUACAUUGAUUCACAUUUAAAUUUACAAUAUCAAAUCCAGACUAAUCAAAAAAAGAAAAGUAGACUAAGUGAGGACGAGUUAGAAAAACGGGUUCAUUUCUCCUAUGUUUAUGUUUACACGUUUUGUUCAGACUGCUUUACACCCCAAUCCAGUGGGUGGCGGUAAUGCCCCCAUUAGACCCCUUUCACUGACGUCACCCGAAACCGGAAGUAAACAAACCCUGCGCCACAUUGGAAGACCAACAAACUCGUGAUUUGGGGGAAAUAAAGGCAGCGCGCGGUAUGUGAACCCACGAGGCACUUGGUUCAUCAAAAACCUACAAUGGUAAACUUUUGUGCUGUGUUAGGGUGUUCUAACAAAGCUGAUGGGAAAGGUGAAAAGAAGUCUUUCUACAGAAUACCAGCUGUGAUUGAGACACAAGCAAACCAAGGAGCUUUCUGCCGGGAGACAGAGAGAGGAUUUAGCUGCUUUAUGCAGAGCGGAUCUGAAUACUUCAAGUCUAUUUUGUUACUGUUUUUCCCCAUGGCCAAAUAAUGAGGUGUCUGCGCCGCAGGAGGAAUAGGCCACAAUUAUAAAUUAUAAAUAAAUCAUAAAAUGUUUCUAAGAACUUGUUCAAGUGUGUUCUGUUCCUUAUAAAUGUUAAAAGUUAUGCCUCAUUAGAUAGCUUGACAAACAUUAGGAGAGGUGCAUUGUUGCAUGCAUUUUUAUAUCCUGUUGUACAUUAAACAGGACGUAGCCUACGCACAUUGAUAUAAAUUAAGUUUCACUUUCAUGGUUGAAGUAUGCAU